GUUUUUAUUUUAUAAUAAAAUAAAAGUUCAGACAAAAUUAAAAUUAUAGGCAAAGGUCAGACAGGAACCCCCCUCUCUUUCCCUAACAGAGAAAGAGAAAAGAGGAACCCUACGGCAAAGGCCCGAAAGCCCUGCCGGUGUGGAUACGGAUUUUAAGAAUGUGUCCGUAUGGAUUCGAACAAUUCUGUAAUGAUCCUUCCGCAGGUUCACCUACGGAAA
Molecule: unclassified non-coding RNA, 219 nt
Filed under: uncultured fungus
Lineage: Eukaryota; Fungi
Description: sequence contains ITS1
Source: RNAcentral